AUGUCCGAAGGCAUUGUGAGGAAGGUGCAGCCCUUCACCAUCGGGACGAGGCUGUCAGUGCCCGCCGUGCCAAAGUGCGAGGAUUUUACGCAGAGCUACCUGCGGAGCCCGAGUCUGGACAACCGCGCGCUGCAGCGCAACCUCAACUCGCUGUACCUGGGUCGAGCCGCGGUCCGCGCGCACGAGCCGCGCGUCGCGCCGCCCGUCGCCGAGCGGCUGGCGCCCGUCGCCGAGCGGCUGGCACCCGUCGCCGAGCGCAGCCAGGAGCGGCACAUGGCCGCGCAGGACCACCUGAACCAGAACGUCGCCGCCCCCUCCUCCGCCGUCUCCAGGUCCAUCAGGAAGAUCGCCAUCUCCGCGAGGGCGCCGACGCGCUCCGGCGCAGGGUGCACGUCCGAAAACAACAACAACAACAACAACAACAACAACAACGUCACGAGCGCCUCAGACCCACUCCUGCCCCGGGUUGUGGGAGUGAGCUGUGAGAAGAAGCCCACUGCUCAGUUCAAGGUUAUACUCAGAAAAGACGGCAGUGCUGAAUCUCAGCCCACACCUGAGAAAUCUGUCCAACAGAUCCCACUGCCUGAAUCACAGAGGAAAGAGCCUCAGAGGAAGGAAAGUCAUCCACGCACACAGGACGAAGCGCCGGCAGCCGCCGCAUCCCAGAGUGACUGCUUCGCUCAGCGCAACUCGCUCUUCAACAGGGAAGUUCUGCAGGCAGAGGCAUGGAUCAAGGGCAAACUGCAGGAUCUGAAGGAUGGCUGUAAUAUUCAGCGCUGCCCCCUGCAGGACUGGGAGGAAGCCUCGCAGACGCUUCAGAGGGACCUCAAAGACUUUGAGAACACACUAAUUCAACUCAACCAGAUGGGUGAGCAGUUGAUCUGCAAGCUGAACCCUACAUCCGACGCGGUGAAGAAGCAGCUCGGCCUGCUCAGGGACCAGUGGCAGACCCUCAAACACACGGCUGCAAAUCAGACGAGGGCCCUCGGGGGAGCCAAGAACCUGCAGGAGUUCAACAAAAAAGUGGACGAGCUGGAGGCGUGGAUUAAAGAGAAGGUAUAAAAAAAAAACAUUCCUCUCUUUAUCUGUGGUUCAACUAAGUGUAAGCCAUGUUCUGUUGAACUAUUGAGUUAAAACUUUGGCUUUUUAAAAAACAAUAUCGGCUAUUUUGCUCAAUUUGUGCAAUUUCUUAUUUUAUUUUAUUGCUGAUGUUUUCAUUAUCAAAUUUAACACAAAUGUGAAACUAUGCUUUAGA
This 1255-nucleotide long non-coding RNA is filed under the name Scophthalmus maximus (turbot). RNAcentral's name for it is "lncRNA (ENSSMAG00000028096.1)". Lineage: Eukaryota; Metazoa; Chordata; Actinopteri; Pleuronectiformes; Scophthalmidae. The record is from RNAcentral.